UAACACAUGCAAGUCGAGGGGCAGCAUGGUCUUAUCUUGCUAAGACUGAUGGCGACCGGCGCACGGGUGAGUAACACGUAUCCAACCUGCCGUCUACUCUUGGACAGCCUUCUGAAAGGAAGAUUAAUACAAGAUGGCAUCAUGAGUCCGCAUGUUCACAUGAUUAAAGGUAUUCCGGUAGACGAUGGGGAUGCGUUCCAUUAGAUAGUAGGCGGGGUAACGGCCCACCUAGUCUUCGAUGGAUAGGGGUUCUGAGAGGAAGGUCCCCCACAUUGGAACUGAGACACGGUCCAAACUCCUACGGGAGGCAGCAGUGAGGAAUAUUGGUCAAUGGGCGAGAGCCUGAACCAGCCAAGUAGCGUGAAGGAUGACUGCCCUAUGGGUUGUAAACUUCUUUUAUAAAGGAAUAAAGUCGGGUAUGCAUACCCGUUUGCAUGUACUUUAUGAAUAAGGAUCGGCUAACUCCGUGCCAGCAGCCGCGGUAAUACGGAGGAUCCGAGCGUUAUCCGGAUUUAUUGGGUUUAAAGGGAGCGUAGAUGGAUGUUUAAGUCAGUUGUGAAAGUUUGCGGCUCAACCGUAAAAUUGCAGUUGAUACUGGAUAUCUUGAGUGCAGUUGAGGCAGGCGGAAUUCGUGGUGUAGCGGUGAAAUGCUUAGAUAUCACGAAGAACUCCGAUUGCGAAGGCAGCCUGCUAAGCUGCAACUGACAUUGAGGCUCGAAAGUGUGGGUAUCAAACAGGAUUAGAUACCCUGGUAGUCCACACGGUAAACGAUGAAUACUCGCUGUUUGCGAUAUACGGCAAGCGGCCAAGCGAAAGCGUUAAGUAUUCCACCUGGGGAGUACGCCGGCAACGGUGAAACUCAAAGGAAUUGACGGGGGCCCGCACAAGCGGAGGAACAUGUGGUUUAAUUCGAUGAUACGCGAGGAACCUUACCCGGGCUUAAAUUGCAGAUGAAUUACGGUGAAAGCCGUAAGCCGCAAGGCAUCUGUGAAGGUGCUGCAUGGUUGUCGUCAGCUCGUGCCGUGAGGUGUCGGCUUAAGUGCCAUAACGAGCGCAACCCUUGUUGUCAGUUACUAACAGGUUCCGCUGAGGACUCUGACAAGACUGCCAUCGUAAGAUGUGAGGAAGGUGGGGAUGACGUCAAAUCAGCACGGCCCUUACGUCCGGGGCUACACACGUGUUACAAUGGGGGGUACAGAGGGCCGCUACCACGCGAGUGGAUGCCAAUCCCCAAAACCUCUCUCAGUUCGGACUGGAGUCUGCAACCCGACUCCACGAAGCUGGAUUCGCUAGUAAUCGCGCAUCAGCCACGGCGCGGUGAAUACGUUCCCGGGCCUUGUACACACCGCCCGUCAAGCCAUGGGAGCCGGGGGUACCUGAAGUGCGUAACCGCGAGGAGCGCCCUAGGGUAAAACUGGUGACUGGGGCUAAGUCAUAACA
Molecule: ribosomal RNA, 1440 nt
Filed under: uncultured organism
Description: SSU rRNA
Rfam family: Bacterial small subunit ribosomal RNA
Source: RNAcentral